Molecule: ribosomal RNA, 36 nt
Filed under: Opisthorchis viverrini
Lineage: Eukaryota; Metazoa; Platyhelminthes; Trematoda; Opisthorchiida; Opisthorchiidae
Description: partial 5.8S ribosomal RNA
Source: RNAcentral
GUACAACUCUGAGCGGUGGAUCACUCGGCUCGUGGG